UAUUCUCGCUAAAUUUAGAUAACAACGUUGCAAAUUUAAUUAAUUUCGAUAGGUUUACUUGUUUUGUAUCAGAUGGUGAAUUCAAUGAUCACAUAUGCCAAAUUUCAAAUAUUUACUCAGUUAUUAAAUCGGCGCUUACUGUUUUAAAUCACUCUGAAAAAAAAUCCCAUUCUUAUAAAACUUUUGAAAUCCAUCAACGGAUCAAAACAAAAACUUCGAACUAUCAUCAUGCCUGCUGAAGCAAACCCAAUGACCACAAGUGCUGCUGCCAGAAUCAUGAGCAACGCUGCCGAAAAUAACGGAACUGGUCAAGUGAAAUCGGGCAGCUUUCCAGCCAGGGCGCAAAAAGCUGCUGCAGCCAAUGUGAAUCAAGGAAAAACUCAGCACCAAGGCGGCAAAAAAUGAAUGGCGAACAUAGUAUGAGGGCUACGGUUGGAUCAAAUCAAGCUUAUUUGAGCAGUCUUGAAAACUGGCGAUCUAAAAAAAAAUGAGCAAUUUAGAACUGAAAGACUCAAAAAAACACGAAAAUUACUUUUAUUAUUCUGUACCUGGUGUGUGUUAGAACCUGUUGCAUUGACCUUGAUAUUAUGAAAAUUACAUUUAUGGUUGAUUGAA
Molecule: long non-coding RNA, 615 nt
Organism: Symsagittifera roscoffensis
Lineage: Eukaryota; Metazoa; Xenacoelomorpha; Acoela; Convolutidae
Exons: 3
Source: RefSeq, a predicted model, not a curated record